GACGAACGCUGGCGGCGUGCUUAACACAUGCAAGUCGAACGGUGAAGCGCCUUCCUUUUUGGUGGGUGUGGAUGAGUGGCGAACGGGUGAGUAACACGUGAGUAACCUGCCCCCUUCUUCUGGAUAACCGCAUGAAAGUGUGGCUAAUACGGGAUAUUCUGGGUCUGUCGCAUGAUGGGUCUGGGACAGAUAUUGUUUCGGUUGGGGAUGGGCUCGCGGCCUAUCAGCUUGUUGGUGGGGUGAUGGCCUACCAAGGCGGUGACGGGUAGCCGGCCUGAGAGGGUGGACGGUCACACUGGGACUGAGACACGGCCCAGACUCCUACGGGAGGCAGCAGGGGGGAAUAUUGCACAAUGGGCGCAAGCCUGAUGCAGCGACGCCGCGUGAGGGAUGGAGGCCUUCGGGUUGUGAACCUCUUUCGCCAGUGAAGCAGGCCUGCCUCGUUUGUGGGUGGGUUGACGGUAGCUGGAUAAGAAGCGCCGGCUAACUACGUG
Molecule: ribosomal RNA, 494 nt
Filed under: uncultured bacterium
Lineage: Bacteria
Description: partial 16S ribosomal RNA
Rfam family: Bacterial small subunit ribosomal RNA
Source: RNAcentral